RNAcentral lists this ribosomal RNA (429 nucleotides) under Bacteroidota bacterium. RNAcentral describes it as "Bacteroidetes bacterium partial 16S ribosomal RNA". It matches the Rfam family "Bacterial small subunit ribosomal RNA", at positions 355 to 776 of the family's 1533-position model. Lineage: Bacteria; Pseudomonadati; Bacteroidota. The record is from RNAcentral.
UAGGGAAUCUUCGGCAAUGGGGGGAACCCUGACCGAGCAACGCCGCGUGAGUGAAGAAGGUUUUCGGAUCGUAAAGCUCUGUUGUUAAGGAAGAACGAGUGUGAGAAUGGAAAGUUCAUGCUGUGACGGUACUUAACCAGAAAGGGACGGCUAACUACGUGCCAGCAGCCGCGGUAAUACGUAGGUCCCGAGCGUUGUACGGAUUUAUUGGGCGUAAAGCGAGCGCAGGCGGUUAGAAAAGUCUGAAGUGAAAGGCAGUGGCUCAACCAUUGUAGGCUUUGGAAACUGUUUAACUUGGGUGCAGAAGGGGAGAGUGGAAUUCCAUGUGUAGCGGUGAAAUGCGUAGAUAUAUGGAGGAACACCGGUGACGAAAGCGGCUCUCUGGUCUGUAACUGACGCUGAGGAUCGAAAGCGUGGGGAGCGAACAGG